AGGAAAUUCGUUGGGUAAAGGAGCGAAUGAAGGUCGUUUUGCUAGCAGACCCUAUUAUUUCGAAUCCUUACCUGCACAGUAGAAAAAACUUCCGACUAGAAACCAAAAAGCCCAUUUACAUUUCAUAAAACCCCGAGAAGUGGUAAUCAAUUGGAACGCAGGGGCUGAGAUAUUCAAGUUCUUCCCACACGACCUACAGCGAGACUAAGAAAAUACAAGGAGCAAACAAAUAUUGGAGCAUGAAAUGGGUAUUCGGAAAUGGCUGGGCCACAUUACAGAACCAGAUAAUCAACCUUCUGCUUUACAAAAAAGAUGACCAGAGACCUGAAAUAGGAGAACAAGGCUUCAGGUUCCUUCGUUGUAGUAAUAGGAGGGUUUUGGAGAUGCCUAAUGAGGGCUGGCGAUAUGGCACAUGAAUAACAUUUUUUCAGGUUUUUAACUGUGAAGGAUGAGAUAUUUUGUUUGUUUGAGGGGGCUCUCUAGAAUCUGCUGAGCUUAAAGCUGCAAUACUGGCUGUCUGUUCAAUUCUCGUUUUAACUAUAAAAUCACAAUUUAAUGGUCCUCUGUAAUCUCAUCAGCAACUUCUCUGAAGCUGUUACAGACAUUUUUUUUAAGGGGUUUUAAUAAGGGGUAGAGGGCAGAGUGUCUAGAAAGGGAGGAGCUUCGCCCCAUUUUAGGGUUACGAAUUUCAGCAUUGCGGCCACACGACCUCAAGGUGGAGUCAUGCGCUCCUUAUUUGGGGUUGUAGCUUCUUGUGGCUGUCCCCAUUUUUUUUCUCUAAUUUGGCCUCUAUUGUUUGGGGUUUAUAAAUUUUUCUAUAAAAGGUUUUGUUUAUUAUGUAUAUAUCUCCGAUUGUAUUUUCUUGGUCAUUUAGCUGAUGGACAUGAGUAAAAUAUGAAUUCACAAAUUUUUCA
Long non-coding RNA from Cryptomeria japonica (Japanese cedar), 914 nucleotides. RefSeq lists it as uncharacterized. The record is from RefSeq and is a predicted model, not a curated record. The transcript has 2 exons. NCBI's taxonomy places the organism in Eukaryota, Viridiplantae, Streptophyta, Pinopsida, Cupressales, Cupressaceae.